RNAcentral lists this non-coding RNA (29 nucleotides) under Mus musculus (house mouse). The record is from RNAcentral. Lineage: Eukaryota; Metazoa; Chordata; Mammalia; Rodentia; Muridae.
UAGAGUGGGCAAUGCUUCCUGGAACUGGG